Molecule: non-coding RNA, 24 nt
Filed under: Cricetulus griseus (Chinese hamster)
Lineage: Eukaryota; Metazoa; Chordata; Mammalia; Rodentia; Cricetidae
Source: RNAcentral
AAACCAGUCAGGGGAAUAGUAAUG